This 298-nucleotide ribosomal RNA is filed under the name uncultured prokaryote. RNAcentral's name for it is "partial 16S ribosomal RNA". It matches the Rfam family "Bacterial small subunit ribosomal RNA", at positions 355 to 644 of the family's 1533-position model. The record is from RNAcentral.
UGAGGAAUCUUGCGCAAUGGGGGAAACCCUGACGCAGCAACGCCGCGUGAGUGAAGAAGGCCUUCGGGUCGUAAAGCUCUGUCAGAUGGGAAGAAAUGGAUGGGGGCUAAUAUCGUCCAUACUUGACGGUACCAUCAGAGGAAGAACCGGCUAACUCCGUGCCAGCAGCCGCGGUAAUCGGGGGGGUGCAAGCGUUGUUCGGAAUCAUUGGGCGUAAAGCGCGCGCAGGCGGCUUGGUAAGUCAGAUGUGAAAUCCCUGGGCUUAACCCAGGAAGUGCAUUUGAUACUGGCUCGCUAG